This is a microRNA precursor of Chlorocebus sabaeus (green monkey), 60 nucleotides long. The record is from Ensembl. NCBI's taxonomy places the organism in Eukaryota, Metazoa, Chordata, Mammalia, Primates, Cercopithecidae.
GUGGGAGCCAUAAGGGUCUGUGCUGUCUCUGAGCACCAUCUCUUCUGUUCCCCAGGAUCC